RNAcentral lists this transfer RNA (72 nucleotides) under Danio rerio (zebrafish). It matches the Rfam family "tRNA". Rfam says of the family: Transfer RNA (tRNA) molecules are approximately 80 nucleotides in length. Their secondary structure includes four short double-helical elements and three loops (D, anti-codon, and T loops). The record is from Rfam by way of RNAcentral. Lineage: Eukaryota; Metazoa; Chordata; Actinopteri; Cypriniformes; Danionidae.
GCAGUGAUUGUAUAGUGGUUAGUACUCUGCAUUGUGGCCGCAACCACUCCGGUUCGAAUCCGGUUCGCGGCA